RNAcentral lists this ribosomal RNA (98 nucleotides) under Bison bison bison. Lineage: Eukaryota; Metazoa; Chordata; Mammalia; Artiodactyla; Bovidae. The record is from RNAcentral.
AUCAGCCUGAAGGCGCCCGAUCUCGUCUGAUCUCGGAAGCUAAGCAGGGUCGGGCCUGGUUAGGAUCUUGGAUGGGAGACCACCUGGGAAUCCCGGGU